Long non-coding RNA from Gallus gallus (chicken), 1631 nucleotides. The record is from Ensembl. Lineage: Eukaryota; Metazoa; Chordata; Aves; Galliformes; Phasianidae.
AGAAGACAAAGGGCAUAGCUCCAAAUUGUUUCUUGUUUUCCUUUUUCUUCUUUCUUUUCUCCUUUUUCUAUUCUAAGUCAGCAGUUUAAAAGAUCACCCCUCAGUGGCAGCUUGGAAGGCAGAAGUUGGAGACUGCCUGGGGAGAAGGGCUCCCAGCUCCAAGCACCAAUGCUUCCCCAUUCCACUGGUGUCCACAGGAACUCUGGGAAGGAAGAGGCAGAGGAAGUGUGACUUGCCCUCAUGUGACAGAAGAUGAGAGUGGCUUAUACCGAUCAGACAUUGCUGAGCACAGAGUUCAUAUUUCUGGAGCACUCUGAAAAGGGGCUUAAAGGCCCUGUGGAUUGUGUCCACUUCUGGACAUCUUGUGGGGUCUAAAACCAGCCCUGAAGCAAGCUUGAUUACAGCUCAGGGUCGCUUCAUUGUCCUGGAGGAUCAAAGAGGAUUUAGCAUAGGAGGGCUUGCUUUGAACAGUGAGCACAGAUGAAUUUCCCUGCAGGCAUUGGGGCCAUCCUGAGUGCUGGAGCAGGCUGGGGUGGCACAGGUGUCCUCUUAAAAAUCUCCGAACUGCCCUCGGCAUGGCUUAUUGCUGUGUAGCCAUCACUCCUGAUGUCAAGCUUUUCAGCGAAGGCAAGCUUUAGCUUUGGAAUCUGAAAGCAGCUCUUCUUUGGACUUCAGAGAAACACACUUACAUGAGGCGUUGAAACUGUUCUCCCUUGUAUUUUCAAGAAAUACACUUCACUGCGCUUUUCUCCUGGCACUCCUGGCUCUAUGCUACCUUUCCUGGGAGUAAAUACACCCCAACCAAUUUCUCUGUUGCCAUUUUCAGGCCAUAUUUGUUUGCAACUUUGUGUGUCUCAGAAACUUCAUCGUCAGUGAAACUCUGGAACGUCAGGAAGCAAGUAGAUCUGCUGCAGAUUUACAUUAAAACAGAGGGAAAUGAAGACCUCUAAAAAAGAUCAGCAGAAUAUCACACCCAUAAAUCCAAGUUGGACUACAGUGUGACAGUUUUUUCUUACACGUCUCUGCUCAGGGAAGAAUUAGUCAUCUAGCAUGCUAAAGUUCUCAUUUUGGUUUCAGAAUUUUUAAAUGAUGCUUAUGUCUCAUUUCUCUUGGAUUCUUCAAGACCUUUGAAUCCAACAGCCAGUCUCGACUGAACCUCGGAGACGUAAAGAUCCCACAGAUGCUCUGCUUUUAUGAAAUUACUGGAAAACAAGCAGCCAAGCAGCAAGGAUUGCCAGUGCCUCUGCAGAGAGAAUGGCUGCAGCAGGAAUUCUCCUCUUGUCGGUUGUCAGCAUGCUGAGGCAGGAAACCAGCUGGGAGCCUCCAUGGAAGCAUCGAGGAAACCAGGCUCUGCUACUUCUGCUGCUCGCAAAGUUGCAUUUCCUUCCCUUGUGGGCAGGAGUGGAAGCAAGACAUAUUUCAGACACAUCAGUGUCCAAAUCUCUGUGAGAAGCAACUCCACUUACAGCUUAGGUGUCUGUGGGGUGCUUUGCUGUCCUUCAGGAAAGAAGCUAACUGCAGCUGUUCAUUUCAUUCUCUCAGACUUAAACUGAGAUUGAACAAGUCCCAUUACACUUCCUGUCAUAUUUUUGAGAUCAGAAUCACACUAUUUACAAAAAAAAAAAAAAAAA